UCCGUAUGAUGAAAUUUUCCCUACAUUCGCAGUUUCCACUCGAGUCCUAAAAGAGCCUUUUCUGGACAAAUGAGAGCGAAUCCUUCCUUGGAUGUCUGACGGA
RNAcentral lists this small nucleolar RNA (103 nucleotides) under Chaetomium globosum CBS 148.51. RNAcentral describes it as "Small nucleolar RNA SNORD14". It matches the Rfam family "Small nucleolar RNA SNORD14". From Rfam's summary of the family: U14 small nucleolar RNA (U14 snoRNA) is required for early cleavages of eukaryotic precursor rRNAs. In yeasts, this molecule possess a stem-loop region (known as the Y-domain) which is essential for function. Lineage: Eukaryota; Fungi; Ascomycota; Sordariomycetes; Sordariales; Chaetomiaceae. The record is from Rfam by way of RNAcentral.